RNAcentral lists this long non-coding RNA (9162 nucleotides) under Citrus maxima (pomelo). RNAcentral's name for it is "long non-coding RNA (CMAX_LNC002837)". The record is from RNAcentral. Lineage: Eukaryota; Viridiplantae; Streptophyta; Magnoliopsida; Sapindales; Rutaceae.
CAUUGUCAGCAUUCAUUCUGAAGUCGGCCAUGCUAGCUUCAAGGUCAACAGCAAGUUCACGAUUUGUAUUGCAUCAAGCGGUGAACCUUCGAAGACUAACAGAACCAAGAUUAUCGCCCUGCUCUGUUGGGAACCUGUUUCUGUGGGCAACCGCCGCUUAUAAUAUGGAGCAUGCAGCUGAAAUGGAGCUGCAUGGAUUGGUGGCACGUAUGAAGCAAGCUGUGGGGAAAAUCAAUAGUGAGUACUUAAAAACAUUACAUGGUGAUGAAGGGUUUCCAAAAGUGUGUGAGUAUAUAAAGAGAAUCGAAGAGGUCUCUGCCCACAAAAAUUUGGAAGCCUUCACAUUUUCCAGUUGGGUCAAAUUUGGUUUCAAUGAAGUUGAUUUUGGGUGGGGGAAUCCAAUUUGGAGCGGCAUUUUUGGAGAAGUCGGUUCUAAUUCUUUCCGAAAUUUGACAUUUUUUAAGGAAACAAGAAGUGCUAAUUAUGAUAAUGCAGUGGAGGCAUGGGUGACAUUAGAUGAAAAAAUAAUGUCUCUAUUGGAGCAUGAUCCUCAGUUUUUGGCCUUUGCUUCGCCGAAUCCGAGCAUAUUAUUGUUUGAUGUUUGUCGAUUCUGAAAGUUUUUUUGUUCAUGAUGGAUGACACUGGCUAGCUAGCUAGUGGCUACUACUAAGCAACUGAUGGUGGUGAUAGAUUUUGAAGAUGGCAAGUAGCUGAGUUAUUCGAAAUGCAUGCAUGUACUGCGACAAAAUAAAGGUUGAUAUUGUAAAAAUAAAUAAAUAAAUAAAAGCGAUAAUAUAUAACAUCCGGAUCCCUGUUUUUGUUUUUCUUUUUUUUUUAUUGAUUUUACAAGUUACGGAAUAAAUUUAUGUAUUUGUUUUCCAGUCAACAGAUGCACUAAAAAAAGAAAAAAAAAAACAUGAAUUUUGAUGGAUAAAUUGUCAAGUCUCAACUAUAUGAUGGGUACUUGCAUCAUUUUCAUAGGUUCUACUAAAAGAAACAAUUAGUUUGAACUGGCACGAAAGUAGCAGGCCGAUAAAAAGCAUAUAUAACUAAGUCAGCCCCCAAGAUUGUGGUCGGUGGUUUCAACUAUAUGAUGGGUACUUGGAUCAUAUUCAUAGGUAAUAGUAGACCAAAAAAUAAAUGGAUUGAGCAAAAAAUAAAUCGAUUUUAAAAAAAUCGAUUAGUUUAAUUAAAAAUAAAAAAAUAAAAUAAAAAAUAAAAAAUGAAAGAACGAAUCAAACCGAAACCGAAUCCAAUUAUGUUUGGUUCAAUUUAUACUUUUUGGUAAGUUAAUUCAGUUUAUGUCAAUUCCACAAAAGCUAAACCAAAUUGAAUCGUGCCCCACCCUUACUUCAUCAUCUCAUAACCUAAUUCCUAUUUAAACCCCAUUAGAGGUCAGUCCUACUAGCAGCGAAACCACUUGCAUGUCUAAGGGCUAAGGUCACCCCAAAUUUUAAAUAAUUUUUAGAAUGUUAUUUUAGAAUUGGGUGAAAUGUAAAUACAUAGAGAAAUUACCAAUAUCGACAUUGCAAUAUUUUGAGAACACAUGUAUAUGUAUGACAAGUAAUCUAAUCUAUUAAAGGGAUGAUGAUUUCCUCACAAGAAUAAAUGGCAGGAGAUUUUGAAAAGGUGAAAGAAUUGUAAAAUUUCCUUUUAACAUAUAAUUGAAUUAGAUGAUAUAAGAUAUCAAUUACUUUAUAUAUUUUUUCAUAUAUUUUAAGAUUUGAAUCAUAUUUAUGUUUUUUUUAUUACAAUAUUUUUUUUAAAAAAUUUUGGAGUUCAAAUUUGUCCUACCAAUUAACCCUCAACCAAAAAUCCGAACUCAUAAAUACAUAUCGGCCUCGCCAAACAAAAGUUUUUAUUCUGAUUGCUCACCAAAACCCCUCUCUUAAUUUGUACAUUACAAAAUGGAACUUGGUAUUGUCUCAAGAGAAGUUGUGAGGCCAUCUUCACCCCAAUCCCCAUGUCCAUCUUUUAAAACCAUUCAAAAUUUCCUCUUUUAGAUCAACUCACUCCCACAACUUUUACUCCACUCGUCCUCUUUUACCGCAUGAGAAAUACGCAUCUAAAGGGUACCCAAAUCUCAACUCGACUCAAAGAGUCACUCUCAAAAACCCUAGUCCAUGUUCACCCUUUUGCAUGGAAGAUUGAGAGACAAUCUCAUCAUCAACGAUUAAGAUGAGGGAGUUCCAUACAUAUAUUGAAACCCGAGUGAACACUCAUUGGUUUGAGUUUCUUCAAAAUCCUCCAAUGAAACUAUUGAACCAAUGAGCUAUUUCAACUAUUAAAGUAAAAUAAAAUAAAAUUUGAAAAAUUGAAUCGAACUGGAGCAGAGUCCAAUUUGGUUUGGUUCGAUUUAUAUUCUUUGAUAAGUUAAUUCAGUUCAUGUCGAUUCCGCAAAAGCUAAACUGAACUGAAUCGUGCCCCACCCUUACUUCAUCAUCUCAUAAACUAGUUCCUAUUAAACCCCAUUAGAGUUAGAGGUCAGUCAUGCCAGCGGCCACUAUAAGAAAAGUAGUCGUUUUCGACUAUAGUUAAAUAUGGUUGCUAAUAGAGCAAUUUUCAACCAUAAAAAUUAGGAUAGCGACAAAAAAUAAAACAGCUAUAUAGUUUUUCUAAUGAAAAUAACACUGUUGAAAAUAACUUCAAAGUCGGUUGAUAAUAAGUUUAUUUUAGAGAGAAAUUUUAGUGCGAUUAGCAUUUAUAACCACUAUAAGUAACACAUUGGAAAUGUAUAAUUAAUUUCUACUGUUUCAAAAACAUAGUCAAAAAUAAAAUAAUAAUUUCAAUUAUUGUAUUUUUUUUGUCAAAAACAGAAAAAUAUUUUAACUGUAACUAAGUGUUGGUUGAAAAAACUAUUCAAAGGAUAUAAAAUUUUAACAUGCAACAUGGGCGCCGAUAAUAUUUUUUACUAAUAUAGCCUGUAAGGUUGGUCAAAGCAAAGUUAUAAGGGUAAGAAAAUAUAAUAUAAAAUUAGAUAUCAUCUAAAGGAAAAGUAAUUGUAAAUCUUUUUCCCUUAGUUUACUAUUUUUUUAAUCAAACAUGAACUAUGUAUUUAAUUAAUUAAUUAAUGUACUUAAUUUAAAAUAAAAUUAACUUCUACAAUGCACAUAGAUUUUGAAUCCUCAACCAAAAAAAUAAAAUAAAUAAAAUGAAAUAUGAAAGUGCCUACCACUUGACCAAGAAGUAAUUUGCAAUGAAUUAUAUAGUAAAUAAUUAUUAAAGGAUCGAUUUUUUUUUAAAGGUUUUACUAGGUGUAACAAUAGAAUUGAAUUACCUUAUUUAACUUACAAGAUACCAUUGAAUUGACUACAACAUAGAUAUAAUGUACUGCGUCUUACAACUAAACAUCAAUCGACUUCAAAAUAGCACUGUAGUUCAAGAAAACUCUAUAAGAUAUAUGAUCCCAUUCAAUCUUAUAGACAAACUUGAAACUUACGAUAAUAUUUAAGUCUCAAUUGUAUUAAUUGUUAUCAUUGAAUCAAUUUAGAGAUUAAUUAUCGAACUAAUUGGUAUUUUAUAGCGAAGCAUUUAGAAAUAAUGUCUAUGAUUGAUCAUAAUUUUCGUUAAAUCAAUUUGGAGACUAGCUGAUUUUCAAAUUAAUGUAAUUAUAUAGUGACAAUUUUGAUAAAUAGAGGUUAAUAGUUUUCAUAAAUGUAUUAUACUAUUAAUUGUGGAACAUGGAACAUAACUUCUUACUUAACAUUCAUUGCAUAUUAAAAAAAUUAGAUAAUUAGUAAUUAACAUUUAAUUAUAGUUGAAAUAUUGUUUAUUAAAUUUGUUUAAUUGUCUAAUAACGGUUAUACAAUUAAUUUCAACAUAUAAUAAGAACUAUUGCAAUAAUUUAUUUAUAUUUUGAAACAUGGCUUAAUUAUGAAUUAUUAAAACUAACACAGCUUCAUAGUUUUGGUGUCAAUAUCUAUUUUUAUCUUUUGUUUACCUUACUAAUUUGUCAUUUAAAUUUAAAAGCUAUGUUAAAGAUGUUUAAUCAAUCAAUUUAGGCUAGAGAGUAAUUAAACAAUCUAGUAAUCACGUAAUAGAUAUUAUAUAUAACUGUUCAAUUAUAACAAAAUUUAAAUUUACAUUAAUAAGAUAAGAAGUUUCGUUUUGCAAUUAAUCAAAUCAUACGCUAAUAAUUUUCAAUAUUUAUCUAUAUAAAAUAAGCAAUGUAGGAUAAGUAAAUUAAUUGAUUUUUUUUAAUUUGAAAAUCUUUUAUUAUCUGUAGUAAUUGUUUGGUUCGCUUAAUUGCUAUAUAUAAUGCCACCUAACUAAAGAUUUUAGUACAAAUAAUAUGUUUACGCUAACUCACGUUCUCCAUUCUCUUUAACGAAUUUCUCAACCAGCUACCGAAUCCUAUCACUUAAUAGAAUAAAAAAAUAUUAAAUAAAUAAAAGCCACCGAUAUUAAGCGGAAUGGAUGAAUUCAUCACCUCUUCUUUUGUAUUAUCCAUCUCUCCAAAGCUUUCAACUCUCUUUUAGGGACAUUUUCUUAAUUCUUUUAAAUUAAGUUUUAUAAAAUUUGGGGAGAUGUUUUUAGAUAUUUUAUUUUUCAAUCACUUUUAAUUUAUUAAGUUUGACAUCAAUUGUUGGCUUCACCAUUACAAAGGCCGGUUUGAAGCUUUUUCUGUCAGAUUGUUUGGUGAGAAUUAUCUGAUUAAUUAUGGCUUGCAGGUAAGAAUUAUUAUUAUUAUUUUUGUUCAUGUUUUUAAUUUAUUGGAUUUUAAUUCACAAUUUAUUAUAUAACAAGCGAAAAAGAGACGUCAAUUAGGAUAGAUUCAUUUUCUUGUUUAGUAAAUCGGCUUUCUACUUUAAUUUAAUUGUAUUUUUUUUUAUUGAUAUGCGGGAAUCAAGAGCUCAGAAAGAAAAAAAAAAUUAUGAUAUUCAACUUUCACAAGGAUUCAGUUGCUUAAUCCACAUUGAUUCUAUCUUUCAUCAACACCAAAAUAUCAUUAUCGUAAUGUGGUGUAGCUUUGGGUGUAUUAUAUUUUAUUUAAGUAUUUAUCAAUGAUUCAUUGAUUAAUCCAUGUUUAUUUUAUCCUUUAGCCACACUAAAUCAUUGUAGUGGUGUCCUAUUGCUUUUGGUAUAUCAUUGGUAUUUGUAUAAAGUGCACAUGUAUUUGUUGAAAUUAUUUGUAAAAGAAUAUUAAUUUGUCAUUGAUUCAUUGAUUACUAAGUCAUUCUAUUAGUUGCACAUGUAUUUGUUGAAAUUAUCUAUAAAAGAAUAUUUGUCAUUAAUUCAUUGAUUACUAAGUCAUUGUGGUAUCACUGUGUAGCUUUUGGUGUAUUAUUUGUGUUUGUUUAAGCUGCACAUGCAUUUGUUGAAAUUAUUUGUAAAAGGAUAUUUGUCAUUGAUUCAUUGGUUAUUAAGUCAUUGUAGUAGCUGCACAUGUAUUUGUUGAAAUUAUUUAAAAGAGUAUUUGUUGUUGAUUCAUUGAUUAUUAAGUCAUUGUAGUAGAAUUGUGUAGCUUUUAGUGUAUUAUUUGUAUUUGUUUAAGCUGCACAUGUAUUUGUUGAAAUUAUUUGUAAAAGAAUAUUUGUCAUUGAUUCAUUGAUUAUUAAGUCAUUGUAGUAGCUGCACAUGUAUUUGUUGAAAUUAUUUAUAAAAGAAUAUUUGCCCAUUCAUUCAUUGACUUUUUUUUUUCUAGAAGCUAUUAAAAAAUCAACUUUAACUAUAUAUUUGUCUAUUGAUUCAUUAUUUUUUUAGACAAUUAAUAAAAUGAUCAUUUUAACUAUCAAGUCGAAUAAAAUAAAUUUCAACAAUCAUCGUCCUGGAAAUACUAAAAUUCAAUUCGAAAUAUAAUUUAUUCCAACUAACAUGACAUAUUUUCGAUUGCAUAAUCAAUUAGAACUAAUAUUUUUUCUAUUGUAAUUUUUUUUUAUUGUGUUUGCCCCCUGAAAAAUAGUGUAUUUUAACGAUAAUUAGUUAGUUGAAAUUGAUAUUGCAAAUACAACCGCUAGAGAAAAUCGAAAACAAUAAAGUGGUUAUAAAUAUCAGUCAUUAGUCGCAUGUUUAUAUUAAUUUUCAAUCUAUAUUUAUAUAUUUAUUAUGGUUAAUUUCGCUCGAAUUAAGCAUAUUUACGACUGCUGUUGAAAAAAGUAUAUUUUUAAUCUGGGUAUUAGCGACUGCCGACGACUGCCUGUGGCCAUCGGAAAAAUACAUUUUUCAACAGCAUGACACUUAUUUCAACUGCAGUCAUAAAAAAAUAUUUUUUCUUGUAAUGAGUGGAACCACAUGCAUGUCUAAGGGCUAAGGGCACCCCAAAGUUUAAAUAACUUUUAAAAUGUCAUUUUGGAAUGGGGUGAGAUGUAAAUACAUUGAGAAAAUACCAAUAUCGACUUUACAAUAUUUUGAGAACACAUGUACACGUAUGACUAUUUAAUUUAAUCUAUUAAAUAGAUGACGAUUUCCUCACAAAAUUAAAUGAUAGAUGAUUUUGGAUAGAUGAAAGAAUCGUAAAAUUCCCUUUUAAUGUAUAAUUGAGUUAGAUGAUAUAAGAUAUCAGUUAUUUUAUAUGUUUUUUUUCAUCUAUUUUAAGAUUUGCAAUAUUUUUUUUUAAUUUUUGGAGUUUAAAUUGCUGGAUCUUUAAGUUAGCAUUGUUGGAUCCUUAAUCCAACGUUAAACUUAUAUGUGAAUAAUUAUGUACUCCAUACUGACAUAUAAUGGUAAGUUCAAUGAAAAGUGAUCUGUUAGGAUUUUUGGUAAUAUAAGCUUUAAUGUAUCUGAUAUGGUGUGAGCCUUUAAUGUGUAGAGACUUAAAAGUAAUUUUUAUUUUUAUGAUGGGCUAAAAUAAUAAUAACUAAAGAUAACAAGAAAAGUUAUCUAUAUAAGUGAUCAUGGUCACCAAGUGUCACAUAUCAUUAUAUUCUUUCUGACAUCCCAUCAUAAGAGAGAGAGCAUAGACAAAUUUAAAAUAUUCUCUAAGAGAAUAUAUUCACCUAGAAGAUAAACUACAUGACUCUAGAGAGUAAUUAUGCAUUAUGGAUACAAGUACGCUUCCACAUAUUUUGUUAUUAAUUCUUGAUAAUACACCAUGAAUGUUCCUAGGUUAUAGAUAAUGAUUUUCACCAAAAGAUUUCUUUUCUCACACAAAUUUGUCCUACCAAUUAACCCUCAACCAAAAAUCCAAACUCAUAAUACAUGUCGGCCUCGCCAAAUAAAAAUUUUGAUUCUGAUUGCUUCCGCACAACCCACUAAAGUUAAAUUCGGGUAAACGUUAACUCCAUAUAUAUAUAUAUAUAUAUAUAUAUAUAUAUAUGGAGAGAGAGAGUUCAUCCACACCUCAAUAUAUCCACUUAUUGUUAUUAUUGAAGCAAAGGAGAUUGAAACACAGGUACUUUUCUAUUUAUAUGUGUACACUAAAACCUCUCUCAUAAUUUGUACGUUACCAACAUGGAAAUUGGCAUUGUCUCAAGAGAAGUUGUGAGGCCAUCUUCACUCCAUGUUCAUCUUUUAAAACCAUUCAAAAUUUCUCUUUUAGAUCAACUCACUCCCACAACUUUUGCUCCACUCGUCCUCUUUUACCCCAUGAAAACUACACAUCUAAAGGGUACCCAAAUCUCAACUCAGCUCAAGGAGUCACUCUCAAAAACCCUAGAACACUUUUACCCUUUGGCCGGAAGAGUGAGAGACAAUCUCAUAAUCAACGAUUAUGAUGAGGGAGUUCCAUACAUUGAAACCCGAGUGAACACUCACUUGUUUGAGUUUCUUCAAAACCGUCCAAUGGAACUACUGAACCAAUGUCUCCCAUACCCUCCAUUUAGUCACCAACCAAAUCCACAUCAAGUUCCCCAAGUAGCUGUGCAAUUGAACACAUUUGAUUGUGGUGGCAUAGCACUUGGCUUGUGCUUCUCACAUAAGAUCAUUGAUGGUGGCACAGCAAGUGCUUUCCUCAGAAGUUGGGCUGCAAAUACUCGUGGAGGUUACCAUAAAGCAGUGAAGUACGAAAACUUAUCUCAGGCAUCAAUGAUUUUCCCUCCUCAAAACCCUUCGCCGAAUCAUCAGUACUUAUCCCUAAUGGAAAAGAUUUGGUUCAGAGAAGCCAAGUACAAGACAAGAAGAUUCGUGUUUGACGCGAAGGCCAUAGCAACCCUAAGGUCUGAAUGCAAAGGCGAACGUGUCCCUAAUCCAACGCGCACUGAAGCAUUGUCAGCAUUCAUACUGAAGUCGACCAUGCUAGCUUUAAGAUCAACAGCAAGUUCACGAUUUGUAUUGCAUCAAGCGGUGAACCUUCGAAGAUUAACAGAACCAAGGUUAUCGACUUGUUCUGUUGGCAACCUGUUUCUGUGGGCAACCGCAGCUUAUGACAUGGAGCAUGCAGCGGAAAUGGGGCUGCAUGGAUUGGUGGCACGUAUGAGGCAAGGUGUGGGGAAAAUCAAUAGUGAGUACUUAAAAACAUUACAUGGUGAUGAAGGGUUUCCAAAAGUGUGUGAGUAUAUAAAGAGAAUGGAAGAGGUUUCUGCCCACGAAAAUUUAGAAGCCUUGAAAUUUUCCAGUUGGGUCAAAUUUGGUUUCAAUGAAGUUGAUUUUGGAUGGGGGAAUCCAAUUUGGAGCGGCAUUUUUGGAGAAGUUGGCUCUAAUUCUUUCCAAAAUGUGACAUUUUUUAAGGAAACAGGAGGUGCUAUUUAUGAUACUGCAGUGGAGGCAUGGGUGACGUUAGAUGAAAAAAUAAUGUCUGUAUUGGAGCAUGAUCCUCAGUUUUUGGCCUUGGCUUCGCCUAAUCCGAGCAUUAUUGUUUGACGUUUGUCGAUUCUGAAUUUUUUAUGUUCCUGAUGAAUCGUGAUGGAUGAUACUGGCUAGCUAGUGGCUACUACUAAGCAAUUGAUGGUGAUGGUAGAUCUUGAAGGUGGAAUGAAAUGCAUGCAUGUGCUGCGAUAAAAUAAAGGUCGAUCUUGUGAAAAAAAAUAAAAGGGAUGAUAUGUAACAUCCGGAUCCCUGUUUUUUAUUGAUUUUAAAAGUUACGGUAUAAAUUUAUGUAUUUGUUUUUCAGUAAAUAGAUCCAUAAGAAAAUAAAAAAUAAAAAGCUCGUGAAAUGUGAUGGUUUAAUUUUCAAAUAAAAAUAAAAAAAUUGGUUUGAACAGGCACGAAAAUAGUAGGCCAACACAAAAGCAUAUAUAAAUAAUUCAGCCCCAAGCUUUUGGUUGGUGGCUUUCAAGUAUAUGACAG